AGUCAUUUACGGAAUAGACUCAUAAAAAAGGACCCUGCACUGAUUUAACAUAUUCUAAUGGAAAGCAUGUGAGUGCAUAGUAGAUCCUCCCCUCUGCAACCUUUAUCUAGCUGACUCCUGGCAUUGCCAACACACUGCAGGCUCUCUGUGAAACACCAAGAUGCCAACAGCCUGCCAAACAUAUGACUAGUACAUUUCACACUCACAGUUCAUUAGUUUAUGUAAUAUGAAAUUAUAUAACUGACAUCAAGGGUUUGGGAAUAAAUGCAACUGACUUGGAAAGCCAGAAGAGGGGGGAACCACAGAGCAACAAGUUCUGAGGGCAUAGGAGCAAAAUGCAGGUUCAGUUUGGGCAGGCAUCCAGCCAAGACACUGCUUUCCAAGGGAGCCAUGCAAGGCCUGGUAGCAACAGCUGAUACCAAGUGAAGCCUGGGCCACUGGUGCCCAUAGGGGUCAACCAGAGAUGAGGUGGGGACUGCAGCAAGUGCUGACAGGGCUAGCCUGACCUUAGGGCCAAGAUUCCUGCUUCCUCAUUCCUCCCAAACUAACCAGGGCUGGACUCCAGGGAAUAGAAGCCAGAACCAGACUUCAGAACUGGCAAAAUAAUCACCAUGAUAAUGAAUACCACUUAUGGAGCUCUUACUUUGUACUAAGCAUGGGUUUAUGUGAUUCAAAUGCAUAACCUGUGAAGCCAAGCUGCCUUGUGGUCCAGUCCUGACAUGGAAAUGCAGUCAGACACAAAAGCCUGGCAACUAGGUAGCAAUUGAAAGUAAUUUUAAUUCUAGUUUCCCUCUUGAAAAACAGCACAAUUGUACACUGUUAAACUUCUUUAAAAUCCUCUUAUCUUUUUUUAUACUCAGCACAUCUGUCUCACCCUAAAGUUGCUCCUAAAAUAACACACCCCCCCCCAUUCAAACCUUUCCAAACUCUCUAUUCAAAACAGGGUGGAAGCUCUUCCCUCUCUCCACUUUCCUCCUUUCCUUCCCCAUUUGUUGUUUCUUUCUCUCCCACAAAGAAUCCUCUGCCCUUUCUGGUAUGAGUUCUCCCUGCCUGAGUUUCUCUAGUUUUUCCUCUCACACUGCAUGUUUGGGUCCUUACAAGGUUCAGGAAACAGACAAAAUAGGAAGAGAGCAGGGGAAGAUAAAAAAUGUAAAGACAGGAAGAAGCUGUGAAUACCGGCGCACAUUCAACACUUUUUAAAGGUCUCUAUUAUCUUACUCAUCUUCUCAAGAAGCCUCAGAGGCAGGUGAUCCCCUUAAACUUAUGAGAUGAUAGGGUUUACAGAUUCAAUAGUAACCUACCCAGUAAGUAGAAGAGUCAAGAUACAAAUCCAAGGAGCUAUGACUUCAAAACCCACCUUUUUGAUGACUGUUUGCCUUUUCUAGAAAGCAGCUAAAAUGCAUAAGGCAAUUGUCUAGUUUCUGCUCAGAUAGUCUGUGUUCACAGCUAGAAAUCUAUUACAUCUCUUCCUAGACUUAAAAACUAUCAACAACAGAGUCUACUGGAGGAGAGACCAAGGACCAAAGCAAAAGCAAGGCAGGCUGGCCUUGUGAGAUAGGCAUUAGCUGGGCUUGAUGGAGCUGGCAAUCUAUGUUCCUUCAACUUCCUAAACAACUCUUCAUAUAUAUAGGGAAGUUGGACGGUAGUUUAUUAUCCAUCCCAUUUUCUUGUGGAAAUCAAGAUUUUAAUGUAGCAUCAGGCCCUCUCUCAUUGAGGGCCCAGAAAAGUCUACAGGUAACUGACAUUAUUCAUUAUAAUGACAUGGCUAUAAUAAAAAAAUAAUAUAGUAAUAAAUAAAUAAGCUGUUGGAACAGUUUAAUGCUGUAUUUAUAAAAUAAUGGAAUCAAUGAGGGAAUUCAUGAAUUCUUUUGAGUCAUCUACUUAGGGGAUGGAGGGAGAAAACACAUUAUGUAAAGGGAAAUUGUUAACUUGUUAAAAUCCUCAAGGGAUUAUAUAAUUUACCAAAGAAAUGAUUGGAAUGUUUUGUUUUGAUUAAAGAACCAAUUUAAAGUUUGGAAAGCAGAAAUUGAAAGAAAAAAUAGGUCCACUUAAGAAUAGAGAAGUAUCAAUAUCAGGCUCCCUUGGCAUCCAGACUGGGACUGCUCUUGUUUAUUGAUUCUGUAACGACAUACAGGAGCAAAAUCUCCACAUUUAUAGCUAAUACUCAAUACUCAAGAGUGAUAGAAGGCUAUAGGGAUGGGGGUGGACAACUAAAAUGUGUGUGUGUGAAAAGAGAGUGGUGGAUGGAAGUCUGUGUUGAGUAUAUAUUUAGAAGAAGUAGCCGAAGCCUCAUAUAGCUGUGUCUGCUUUAGCAGCUUUCAUAUGAUAAUAAAAUGAGGUACAAGAAAAUAAAUAAAUUGAUAAAAAUAUUGAAUUGUUGAUCAAGAGUUAAAAGUUGCAAGCUAGAAAAGGGAUUUAAGUGGGAGUUAUAAUACCGAGACACCUAAGCCAUGUGUUAUAGUAACCAAGGAGAGCUGGCUACUCUGUUCUUCCUUCUCAUUAUUUUUCAAUAAUGUUCAUAGAGUACUAUUUGCUCUUUUUGCAGAGAGAAUAAGAAUAUAAAUUAAAUAAAUGUGUUCAUAGAGGUGUGUGUGUGUAUGCAUGUGCACAUAUGUAUAAAACUGCCUAACAAUCUUAUAUUGAUGUAUGUUCCCAUGGUCACUUCCUGGACCCUGUCAAUAAGCAAUACAAGUUUAUCUAUAAAAUCUUAAACUCCACAUAAUCCAUUCUCAAACUCUAAUGUCCUAUUUUUCAACUUCCUGAGCUUCCAUCUCACUGUUUUCUCACUUCACAGAGAUCUGCCUUCCUACCUUCCUAAUUCUUACAGGUCAUCCUCCCAGAUUAUAAGUAGGCUUCUUUUUUUUUUUUUUUAAGACAAAAAGAGAGGAGGCAGAGACACAAGCAGGUUCCUUGCCGGGAGCCCAAUGCGGGACUCAAUCUUAGAUCCCAGGAUCAUGCCCUGAGCCAAAGGCAGAUGCUAAACCACUGAGCCACCCAGGCAUCCCUAUGAGUAGCCUUCUGUUUGUCCUUUCAGUCAGCUCAGACUGUAUGACUAUUCAAAUGAGUUGCAGUGCUAUAACCUAUUUCCUCCAUCUUACACCUCAGUGAUCGGAUGAUGCUGGAGAAAAACACUAGUAAUGUUAUUAAAAAGAUAAACUGAGGCAUGAUUCAAACCAGGCAGUGCCAAACUGAAAGUGGUUAGGAGCACUCCAGGAGCUAGGGGAAAGUUUUUAACAAGAUACAGAAGCAAAGCAAGGAAAUUAUUUGAUUGGCUAUAGCAUAAGCUCUUGCCUUAUUUGGGAAAGCCUAUUUGUGAUUGGUUGGCCUCAGGUUUCAUAUUCUUAGAUUCAAGUGUGUUGAUUCUGGAUUAGGUUUUGGUUUGCUUACAUAGGCCACCAAAUCUUUAGAGACACUUUAUCUAAUGGCCUCCUGUUUAAUUACUUUAACAAUGCAAAACUCUCAAGUCAGGAGCUCCCCCAAACAGCUCUGUUUCCCUUAUUCAGAAGACGGUAUUUCUUUCUCUUGACUCUUAGAAGACUGAUCAUGUCUUAUUCCCUUUGCUUCUCUAGAAUUUUGCCCCUUGUCAGUGAACUUCACAAUUUAGGACAUUACUCUGGAUACAGUAUGAAUGAUUGACUGGGGGCCAGGCAAGAGAGGGUGCAAGGACAGUGGAAAAGUGCUGUAGGCUUUACAGGGGUGAUGACAAUGGCAAUAGAGAGAAGCAAAUGACUUUGGAAUAAGUGUAGGCAGUUGAAUCACAAAGAUAUAAUUGUUGGAUAGAAGCAGGGGAGAUGAGGUGGGAGUGUGAGGUGAGGAGAUUUCUGGCUUGAGCAACUAAGUGGUGAUAUCGUCACUGAUAUAGGAGAAUACUGGGGAUGGGGGACCCAGGUUUAGAUAGGAAAAAAAAUAGAAAUUUUAUCUGUAAUAUAUUAGGUUCGAGAUAGUUCUGAGAUUGCCUAAUAUAGAGAUGCCCAAGAAGCACUGGUGGGACUGUUGAACAUGAUGAAAAAUAAGGACCAGGAUGUGACCCUGGAAGUGGAGGACAAUUCCAUGGACAAUGAGGAGGUCGAGGAUCUGAGUUGCCAGACAUCCUUCAGUACCUCAAUUUUAUCAGGGUUUUCUCAACUCCAACUUUCCAAAUGUUUUAUAUUUUUCAUUUUUAUUUCAAUCAUUAAUUCACCUGGACAUAAUGUUUAUGUAUGAUGAAAGAUUACCAUCUUUAUUUUCUUCUUUUUGGAUAACCAGAUAUCCUUGGGCCAUUUGUGUUCAACACAAGCUUAACCCCCAAAUGUCCCUUGAAUUCAUUUUGCCCUGAAGGACUUCAGGAUCCUUCCCUUUCUUUUCUAUAAUCCAUAUUCUGCAUGGUGUCAUGAAAUUUGUCUUUCUAAAAUACAAAUGUGAUCAUGUCACUCUGCUGAUUAAACUGUUUAAAUAACUUCUUUUUAUUGCCUACAGAAUAAAAGUCCAAUCCCUAAGCCUGUCAUAUUUAAGCUACUGCUGGGUAUGAUUGGGUCUUCUGACCAGGACCUCCAGGAAGCCGCAGCUGGAUGUAUAUCCAACAUACGCAGACUGGCUCUUGCUAUAGACAAGGCAAGAUACACUUGAAAUGUGCACAGACGUUACAAACUACCAAAUUUUACAUGACAGGGAACAUGUCAGUCCCAUGGCCAAGAAGCCUAGAUCAGGAAGCAUGUUGAGCAAAUGUUUUACAGACAGAUAAAUGUCUGAAUGAAAACACAGGAAUUAAAAAUGCAAAGGAUACUCUUCAUCCAAAAAUUGCAUAGAUAUUUUUGUUCUAUUUAAUAUUUUGGGGAUAUGCCAUGUAAUGAAAUGUAAAGCUAAUAAAAUUGUGAUACUUUUGUUUGUGAUGAUUUUAAUAAAAGAUAUGGCCUUCCUGGUGUGCA
Canis lupus familiaris (dog) is the source of this 4904-nucleotide long non-coding RNA. RefSeq lists it as uncharacterized. The transcript is spliced from 2 exons. The record is from RefSeq and is a predicted model, not a curated record. NCBI's taxonomy places the organism in Eukaryota, Metazoa, Chordata, Mammalia, Carnivora, Canidae.